This 1038-nucleotide long non-coding RNA is filed under the name Physcomitrium patens. RNAcentral describes it as "long non-coding RNA (PPAT_LNC011738)". Lineage: Eukaryota; Viridiplantae; Streptophyta; Bryopsida; Funariales; Funariaceae. The record is from RNAcentral.
AGAUGUCAAUAGUCAUCAUAUGGUCCUAGGUGAAUUGUUGUGGUCCUACUGAGUAUUGUAUUGAAGCUACUAUGAGCUACUCUUAAAAAGUCAAUUGAAAGGUGAAAAGAUAUUACAAUAGUAGAGUCUAGUGGUGUCGUAAUACAUGAAGUCUUGCUUGAGAAUGCUCUGGAUACCUAGCUAUAGAAGGUAGAAUAGAAAUUGCAACAAUAAAAUCUUAACUCUAAUAGAAUACUAACUAAACUCUAAUUAGACUAUAAGAAUGCUAAGCAAGCUUUAAUCAAUCUCAAAGAAAUCUCAAAAGAAUUACAAAGAAAUAAUAAGAAAUCUUAAAGAAAUAUUAGACUGAUUACAAAUAUAUCUCAAAUACAUCUCAAUUCAAUCUUAAUUUAAUCCUAGUUAAAAUCCUAUUGGACUUCAUUCAAACUUUGGGCCAAAAACUAACUAAAUCUUAAAUCCUAAACAAACCCUAAUAAAAUCCUAAAUCCAAAACCAAAUCCAAAUCAAAUUCUAAAUCAAAUCCUAAUCAAAUCCUAAAUCCUAAAUCAAAUCCUAAUCAAAUCCUAAAUUAAAUCCUAAUUAAAUUCUAAAUCCUAAAUCAAAAUCUAACUAAACCUUGAACCCUAAAUCAAAUCCUAAAUCCUAAACCAAAUCCUAACUAAAUCUUAACCAAAUCCUAAAUCCUAAACCAAACAGUAAUCCUAAAUCAAAUCCUAACCAAAUCCUAACCCUAAAUCAAAUCCUAAUCAAAUCCUAAUCCUAAAUCAAAUCUUAACCAAACUCUAAACCAAAUCCUAAAUACUAAACAAAAUUCUAACCAAACCCUAAUCCUAAAUUAAACCCCAACCAAAUCUUAAUCCUAAAUCAAAUCCCAACGAAACCUUAAAUCCUAAAUAUAAUCCUAACCAAAUCUUAAAUCAUAAAUGAAAUCCUAACCAAAUCCUAAUCAAACCCUAACCUUAAAUAAAAUCUUAACCAAAUCCUAAUUCUAAAUCAAAUCCUAACCAAACUCCAACCCUAAAUCAAAUCCUAACCAAA